RNAcentral lists this ribosomal RNA (253 nucleotides) under uncultured bacterium. Its description in RNAcentral is "partial 16S ribosomal RNA". It matches the Rfam family "Bacterial small subunit ribosomal RNA", at positions 524 to 776 of the family's 1533-position model. The record is from RNAcentral.
GACGUAGGGCGCGAGCGUUGUCCGGAUUUAUUGGGCGUAAAGAGCUCGUAGGCGGCUUGUUGCGUCGACCGUGAAAACCCGCGGCUUAACUGCGGGCUUGCGGUUGAUACGGGCGGGCUGGAGUUCGGUAGGGGAGACUGGAAUUCCUGGUGUAGCGGUGAAAUGCGUAGAGAUCGGGAGGAACACCUGUGGCGAAGGCGGCCCCCUGGGCCGGCCCUGACACUGAGACGCGAAGGCGUGGGGAGCGAACGGG